CGGACCGGCGGCCGGGCUGGCCCAGCUAGACGAGCUGCUGACGGUCGCGGGCGACCGGACCCGCCGGUUCCAACCGGCCCGGGCCGCCC
This 89-nucleotide transfer RNA is filed under the name Micromonospora andamanensis. Its description in RNAcentral is "tRNA-Val". Lineage: Bacteria; Bacillati; Actinomycetota; Actinomycetes; Micromonosporales; Micromonosporaceae. The record is from RNAcentral.